CCCAUCUCUCAGAAGUCCAGAUAGGGCAUAGCCCCUCACAUCAAGAGGUUGUUCAACUUUAGGAACAUCCUAUUCUUCUCAGUACAAAAAUGGGAUGUCCUAUUACAGACCAGUCUAGGAUUUAAGAGAAGUUAACCCAUGAAUCGUAUCUCUGUACUCUACCAUUCUCAACCCAUAUACCCUCCUGAGUUUGCUGUCUCCUGAGCACCAAGUAUAUACUGUGCUAGAUUUAAAAGAUAUUUUUUCAGUCUGCCUCUUUCCUCAGCUAGCCAGCCUAUAUUUGCCUUCUAAUGGACUGACCCAGCUUCCAAUGAUUCUUGGCAACUCAUUUGGACCUGGCUCCCUCAAGGAUUCAAGAAUGCAACCACUCUGUUCUGUGAGGCCUUCCAGAAGGACUUAUUUGUUGAGUUUUUGAUCCCAUGACCCUAACCUCACCUUGCUUCAAUAUGUGGAAGAUCUGUUGUUAGCUGCUGCCAUUUGUUCAGAAUGCCUUCAGGAAACAAGAGCUCCUACAAUUGCUAGAGGAGUUGGGCUAAUGUGUCUUGGCUAAAAAGGCACAACUCUGUGCUUCCCAUGCAUCGUACCUGUGGUAUGAGACCUCAAAAGGAAGAAAAACUUUGUCUCAGGCAAGGAAAUGGGCCAUUCUCCAGAUACCCAUGCCAACUACCAAGAAACAGGUACAAGAAUUUCUAGGUGCAGCUGGAUACUGUGGCCUCUGGAUACCUGGGUUUGCCAAGAUAGUACAGCCCUGAAAUCAACCCCUAGAGUGGAGAAGAAAAGAAGAAAAGGUGUUCCAGGAUUUAAAACAAGCUCUGGUGUCAGCCCCGACUCUGGUGUUGCCUGGCAUCAAUCACCAAACUGUUCCAACUGUUCACUCAUGAGGUUCUCAGUCUGGCAACACUGAUGCCACAUGAUGACCCCAAUACCCCAAUGCAUGACUGUGAGGAGGUGUUGGACCACACCUAGGGAGGCUGCUCAGACCUAAUGGACAUCCCCCAGCUGAGGCUGACACCACUCUCUUCACUGAUGGAAGUAGCAUGGUGGUAAGCGGGGUGCGGAAGAACAAAAUUCAUGGCACAGCUGUACCAAGUAUUGGAGGCUGGCAAGAUCAGGAUAUUCAAGAGUUCCAUUGGCAUGGUGAAUCUGGUUGACAUGGUGCGAUGACUGAAAACUUGAAGGCAGUCUUGCUGGCUUCCACUCCUCACCUCCACAGGGAAAGUCCUUAAGUCACAUCUGCAGGGCCCUGUCCUGGCUCCAUGACUUUGAGCAGAAGAAACAGCAAGAAGAGGCCCACUGUCUCCUUGAACCUGAAGCCGGCCCCUCGCCUGAGGGGCAGACUUGCAUCCUGCAAUCUUGUCUUCCUGCCAAGCAUCCCCCACCACUCUGAGACCUACACAAGAGCCAGACUGGGUCACCAAGUUUGUGCAGAGGAAGGAAGGAAGGGACCUGGCAGAGCAAGUGAAGGUGAGGGCUGGGUAGCAUCCUCGAGUCAGUGGAUGCAGAGUCACCUCUGCUGACGGAACCAGCCAUCACUAGUCAAACAGUACCCGAGCAGAGGGGUGAGGAUUAAGAAAGAAAAACACUGACUCAAAGGAAAAGAAAAAGGAGAGAGGAGGAGAGACCUCUCUCCCCACUUUAUUGACCCUUUUAUAUCCUUUCCACAGUUCCCCUCCCCUCCUCACCACAUGAUCAGGUGACUAGUUUACAGAGAAAAGGUCAAGUGUAUCUUUACAAUUCCAGGGAUGUUAUUUCUUUGCUUUGCAGACAUUCAGAUUCUUUCUAUUUUUACUACUCUCUUCACAAGUCAACAUCCUUGUUUUCGUGCCAGUUUCAUAUCCAGGGUUCAUUAUACUCUCAAGAGGCUCAGAGGUCUUUCAAGGUUGUUUCAACCCUUCGCUCUCCACACUCUGCAUCCUUCUGAGCCGUGGUCACCUGUCCUUCUCUGGGCACCACUCCCCAUGCACUGUGUACCCAUGGUUGGCCUUGGUGAUGGGUCUGGGCCCUGGAUGCAAUGGAGGGAGGAGUCUGACCAGGCUGUGGCCCAGGAAGGGAUGCAGACUUCCUGCCCCAGGCAGCAAGGGUGACUUGCCAGUUUGAGGUUCAGAGGGACUCCUGGAACCCUCAUUGCUCUAGAGGAUGGCAGGGUCCCUGCAGGAGUCUCCUCACUGCUGUGUCCCCCCCCCAGGAGAAAGAAGUGAGAGGAGUGGCUGCAGCAGGCCCUCAGGGUGGAUGAGGAUGAGGAAAACCUGGAAGAGGAACACAUCACAAAGGUUAAGAUGCUAAGGCCUAGAUCCUUCUUUGUCGGGCUGCCCUCCACAUGCACACACACACAGUCAUGCACCAUUUUUCUCUUUUCCUGUCCUUGCUCUGAAAUCCCUGAGGAGAGGGAGUGUCCAGCUCAGACUUCAUCUCUUGCUAUGGGAGAUGCAUGGGAGAUGCAUGCCUCCAUAGUGCUCCCGGACAGUGAGGGCCUGCCACAUGAAGACACAGCAGCAGGGACACUGCCUUUCCAAGAUCCUAAACCCUGGCUGAAGGCACAGUUGCAUGGGUGGCUUCCUUUGGUGCCAUGUGAUGCAAGGCAAUGCCAUGUUACUAGGGACCUGCAUUUGCAGCCACCUUCCUUGUUCCCUCAGGCCCUUGAUACUUGAUGUACAGAGAGCAUUUGGGGCUGUUAGCAUCCCCUCUUUGACUUCCCCUUCAUCUGCUCUGAGCAGAUUACUGCAACCAGAUGCUUUUGUCCUUUUGUCCUUGGCUCUAUUGAUAUAGUGUAUUACAUUGAUUGAUUUGCAUAUGUUGAACCAUCCCUGCAUCCCUGGGAUGAAUCCCACUUGGUCAGGGUGUAUGAUCUUCUGCAUUCUAUUUGCCAGUAUCUUACUAAGGAUUUUUGCAUCUAUGUUCAUUAGUGAGAUUGGCCUAUAGUUCUCUUUUUCAGUUGGGUCUUUCUCUGCUUGAACAAAGCAUUCUUGCAAGAAGUGAAUCUUAGGUUAAUGGGAACUUGUUCUUUCCCUUAUAUUAAAAUUAACUUCUUAUACAGGUUGAGCAAGAACCAUGGGCUUUUCAGCUGUAGAUACUCUCAGCUAAUACAGGCCCCACAGAGCCAUUAACCUGGGUUGGUCUCAGCCAUGGCCAGUGGCAGUUACAUUCUCUUUCUGCACACUAGCUGCAGCCAUUAAGCUGUGCACUUAUGCCUUAGACUAGUUCUGAAUUAAACCAAUUGUAUCUGCCAGUUGAAUAUAAUCAAAGCCAUGUCAAUACCAUCUUAAGGUAAUCUCCUUCAUGAGAUAUUCAGGAAGUAGUACUUCAAUCCUGGCCUUUAUUAAUAAUCCCUGUGAGCAGCAAUAUCCCUCACUGCACUUAGAAGUGUAUGUGAGACACUUCUAAGCUACUGUUCAAAUAGGGUUAGUUAGGUCCGGGGAUUUAGCUCAGUGGUUCCAACCCCUGCCUCGCAAACUCAAGGUCCCAAGUUCGAUCCCUGGUACCACAAAAUAAAACCCAAAGGCAGAACAAGGAAAACUAUCAUUACUCCUAAUGAACAUGAAUGCAAAUAGGGUUACUUAUUAAAUACACUUAACAUGUAAAUGAUGAUGAUGUGUUGUAAUAAUAAGAUUACUGAUUUAUUUAACCCUAAGUUGUCUGAAAUUAAAAAAUAUUAUUGUGUUAAUUAUGAAUAAAGUCAUAAACAGAAAAAACAUUUGAUUCAACAUAAAGUUUAUCUUAGGCAUUAGCUAUCUAAUUCUAAAUGACGACAGCUGUAUUUCUCUCAUUUUUAGUAAUAAACUAAAAUUUGUGUAUUAAAUGUGACAUGGCUAUAUUAUAAAUUUAGAUGUGUGUUUUUCUGAAG
This 3841-nucleotide long non-coding RNA is filed under the name Heterocephalus glaber (naked mole-rat). RNAcentral's name for it is "lncRNA (ENSHGLG00100051252.1)". Lineage: Eukaryota; Metazoa; Chordata; Mammalia; Rodentia; Bathyergidae. The record is from RNAcentral.